This 600-nucleotide ribosomal RNA is filed under the name Triticum aestivum (bread wheat). Its description in RNAcentral is "partial small subunit ribosomal RNA". The record is from RNAcentral. Lineage: Eukaryota; Viridiplantae; Streptophyta; Magnoliopsida; Poales; Poaceae.
AUGACAAAUACUGUACAACAAAGUAACGCUACGGAAAGCCCCACAGACCAGUCCAAUUGGCCGUCGCACGCAUGCCGACGUCGUACAAAAGCGGAUAUAGAAAGUGGUGGUCAAAAGAAGAAGGGGCGAGGUGUCCUCAAAGGAAUCAAGGUCGCCAAGAAGCGAUUCGCCAAUGGUUCCUCAAAGCUUCACAUUGAAUUUUCCAAAACAUUGGGAGGUUCUAUCGGAGAGAACUAUCGUAUGUUUGUGGAUGACGUGGUGGUUUACAUGAAAAGGAAGGCACCACUCAUUGGUGUGAACAAGUGGUCUGCCAUUGAUUCUUCUGUGAAGGAUUCAAUCGUUGCUGAUGUCAUUGCUAACUGGGAUUUGGAGGACACAUAUUCCACGAAGGGAAAAAUACUAACAAUUGCUAGAGAGCGCUAUAGAGGAUGGCGGUCAACUUUGCAUUCAACAUACAAAGCAUACAUUACUGAUGCUCAAAGAAGGGCCAAUAAACCCGAGGAUGUAACUCCAGAGGAGUGGGAUUAUAUGAUCAAUUAUUUUGGUACUGAUUUAAAAUUUCAGGUUACUUUUGUGUACAUUACUAGGUGUAGUAAGUAA